RNAcentral lists this ribosomal RNA (797 nucleotides) under uncultured Actinomycetes bacterium. RNAcentral's name for it is "bacterial SSU rRNA". It matches the Rfam family "Bacterial small subunit ribosomal RNA", at positions 268 to 1064 of the family's 1533-position model. The record is from RNAcentral. Lineage: Bacteria; Bacillati; Actinomycetota; Actinomycetes.
CAAGGGCUUUGAACGGGUUAGCCGGCCUGAGAGGGUGACCGGCCACAUUGGGAACUGAGAUACGGCCCAGACUCCUANCGGAGGCAGCAGUGGGCAAUAUUGCACAAUUGGCGGAAGCCUGAUGCAGCAACGCCGCGUGCGGGAUGACGGCCUUCCGGUUGUAAACCGCUUUCGCCUGUGACGAAGCGUGAGUGACGGUCAUGGGUAAAGAAGCACCGGCUAACUACGUGCCAGCAGCCGCGGUGAUACGUAGGGUGCGAGCGUUGUCCGGAUUUAUUGGGCGUAAAGGGCUCGUAGGUGGUUGAUCGCGUCGGAAGUGUAAUCUUGGGGCUUAACCCUGAGCGUGCUUUCGAUACGGGUUGACUUGAGGAAGGUAGGGGAGAAUGGAAUUCCUGGUGGAGCGGUGGAAUGCGCAGAUAUCAGGAGGAACACCAGUGGCGAAGGCGGUUCUCUGGGCCUUUCCUGACGCUGAGGAGCGAAAGCGUGGGGAGCGAACAGGCUUAGAUACCCUGGUAGUCCACGCUGUAAACGGUGGGUACUAGGUGUGGGGUCCAUUCCACGGGUUCCGUGCCGUAGCUAACGCUUUAAGUACCCCGCCUGGGGAGUACGGCCGCAAGGCUAANCACUCAAAGGAAUUGACGGGGCCCCGCACAAGCGGCGGAGCAUGCGGAUUAAUUCGAUGCAACGCGUAGAACCUUACCUGGGUUUGACAUGGAUCGGGUAGNUGCGUCAGAGAUGGGUGUGCCUCCUUUUGGGGUCGGUUNACAGGUCGGUGCAUGGUCUGUCGUCAGCUNNCU